GGGGAUGUAGCUCAGUUGGGAGAGCGUUUGACUGGCAGUCAAAAGGCCGAGGGUUCGAUUCCCUUCAUCUCCA
RNAcentral lists this transfer RNA (73 nucleotides) under Candidatus Poribacteria bacterium. RNAcentral's name for it is "tRNA-Ala". It matches the Rfam family "tRNA". From Rfam's summary of the family: Transfer RNA (tRNA) molecules are approximately 80 nucleotides in length. Their secondary structure includes four short double-helical elements and three loops (D, anti-codon, and T loops). Further hydrogen bonds mediate the characteristic L-shaped molecular structure. tRNAs have two regions of fundamental functional importance: the anti-codon, which is responsible for specific mRNA codon recognition, and the 3' end, to which the tRNAs corresponding amino acid is attached (by aminoacyl-tRNA synthetases). tRNAs cope with the degeneracy of the genetic code in two manners: having more than one tRNA (with a specific anti-codon) for a particular amino acid; and 'wobble' base-pairing, i.e. permitting non-standard base-pairing at the 3rd anti-codon position. Lineage: Bacteria; Candidatus Poribacteria. The record is from RNAcentral.